This is a microRNA precursor of Nicotiana attenuata, 97 nucleotides long. It matches the Rfam family "MIR6152 microRNA precursor family". The record is from Rfam. Lineage: Eukaryota; Viridiplantae; Streptophyta; Magnoliopsida; Solanales; Solanaceae.
UGGACAGAUUAUUGUAUUCGACUGUAUUCACGGCGUAAAAUAGGGGAUUACACUGUUUUUAAAACGGAACGUGAAUCAAUUAACAUAAUAGACUCCU